RNAcentral lists this ribosomal RNA (45 nucleotides) under Monocarpus sphaerocarpus. RNAcentral's name for it is "partial 23S ribosomal RNA". Lineage: Eukaryota; Viridiplantae; Streptophyta; Marchantiopsida; Sphaerocarpales; Monocarpaceae. The record is from RNAcentral.
AAAGCAUCUAAGUAGGAAGCCCACCUCAAGAUGAGUGCUCUCCUA